Molecule: ribosomal RNA, 467 nt
Filed under: uncultured bacterium
Lineage: Bacteria
Description: partial 16S ribosomal RNA
Rfam family: Bacterial small subunit ribosomal RNA
Source: RNAcentral
ACGAACGCUGGCGGCGUGCUUAACACAUGCAAGUCGAACGGAAAGGCCCUGCUUUUGUGGGGUGCUCGAGUGGCGAACGGGUGACUAACACGUGGGUAACCUGCCCUUGACUUUGGGAUAACUUCAGGAAACUGGGGCUAAUACCGGAUAGGAGCUCCUGCUGCAUGGUGGGGGUUGGAAAGUUUCGGCGGUUGGGGAUGGACUCGCGGCUUAUCAGCUUGUUGGUGGGGUAGUGGCUUACCAAGGCUUUGACGGGUAGCCGGCCUGAGAGGGUGACCGGCCACAUUGGGACUGAGAUACGGCCCAGACUCCUACGGGAGGCAGCAGUGGGGAAUAUUGCACAAUGGGCGGAAGCCUGAUGCAGCAACGCCGCGUGCGGGAUGACGGCCUUCGGGUUGUAAACCGCUUUCGCCUGUGACGAAGCGUGAGUGACGGUAAUGGGUAAAGAAGCACCGGCUAACUACGUG